This 839-nucleotide ribosomal RNA is filed under the name Vibrio sp. Its description in RNAcentral is "bacterial SSU rRNA". It matches the Rfam family "Bacterial small subunit ribosomal RNA", at positions 90 to 924 of the family's 1533-position model. The record is from RNAcentral. Lineage: Bacteria; Pseudomonadati; Pseudomonadota; Gammaproteobacteria; Vibrionales; Vibrionaceae.
GUCGAGCGGCGGACGGGUGAGUAAUGCCUAGGAAAUUGCCCUGAUGUGGGGGAUAACCAUUGGAAACGAUGGCUAAUACCGCAUGAUGCCUACGGGCCAAAGAGGGGGACCUUCGGGCCUCUCGCGUCAGGAUAUGCCUAGGUGGGAUUAGCUAGUUGGUGAGGUAAGGGCUCACCAAGGCGACGAUCCCUAGCUGGUCUGAGAGGAUGAUCAGCCACACUGGAACUGAGACACGGUCCAGACUCCUACGGGAGGCAGCAGUGGGGAAUAUUGCACAAUGGGCGCAAGCCUGAUGCAGCCAUGCCGCGUGUAUGAAGAAGGCCUUCGGGUUGUAAAGUACUUUCAGUCGUGAGGAAGGUGGCGGCGUUAAUAGCGGCGUUAUUUGACGUUAGCGACAGAAGAAGCACCGGCUAACUCCGUGCCAGCAGCCGCGGUAAUACGGAGGGUGCGAGCGUUAAUCGGAAUUACUGGGCGUAAAGCGCAUGCAGGUGGUUUGUUAAGUCAGAUGUGAAAGCCCGGGGCUCAACCUCGGAAUAGCAUUUGAAACUGGCAGACUAGAGUACUGUAGAGGGGGGUAGAAUUUCAGGUGUAGCGGUGAAAUGCGUAGAGAUCUGAAGGAAUACCGGUGGCGAAGGCGGCCCCCCUGGACAGAUACUGACACUCAGAUGCGAAAGCGUGGGGGAGCAAACAGGAUUAGAUACCCUGGUAGUCCACGCCGUAACGAUGUCUACUUGGAGGUUGUGGCCUUGAGCCGUGGCUUUCUGAGCUAACGCGUUAAGUAGACCGCCUGGGGAGUACGGUCGCACGAUUAUAACUCAAAUGAAUUGACGGGGGCCCGC